Molecule: non-coding RNA, 29 nt
Filed under: Cricetulus griseus (Chinese hamster)
Lineage: Eukaryota; Metazoa; Chordata; Mammalia; Rodentia; Cricetidae
Also listed under: 1 other name
Source: RNAcentral
CGUGGAGAGGAACAAUUCUGAGUCUUAAC